AACUAUCACGCUUUGCCCUGGCUCAGGAGGAUCUAGAGUAUAAGAUCCCAUUGAUACAGUGGGCCAAAAACAUGAGUGAGAAGGAGAUUCAUCUAGUAGCUGCAUCCUGGAGCCCCCCUCCUUGGAUGAAAACCAAUAAUGAUUACGCUGGAUUUGCUUUCCUAAAAGAAGAAUAUUAUGAUCUUUAUGCAAAGUAUUUGUUGAGAUUUCUAGACGAGUAUAAGAAGCGAGAUGUAAACAUUUGGGCAAUGUCAACUGGAAAUGAACCAUCAAACGGAAUCCUGCCAAUAAAACGUUUCAACUCCUUAGGUUGGACUCCAAUCUCAGUGACAAACUGGACAGUGAAUUAUUUUGGCCCACAACUGCGAAACUCAAUUCACAAUGAUACAAUAUUGUUGGCAUUUGAUGACCAGCGCCUUUUUCUGCCUUGGUGGAUAAACCUAAUGGUGAGAGCUGACAAAAGAAUUUUAGAAUACAUCAAUGGUUUUGCUGUACACUGGUAUUGGGAUUUUCUUGAUAGGGGUUAAAGUCAUAAAUGACCUCCAUGAGAAUUAUCCAGAAAAGUUCACCUUGUAUACUGAAGCUUCUAUAGGAGACAAACCAUGGAGAAAAAAAGUGGACAUUGGAUCAUGGGAAAGAGGGGAAAUGUAUAUUGCUGACAUCAUUCAAAACCUGAAUGCCUGGGUGGACUGGGUGGCUGGACUGGAGUCUUGCACUGGACACUACUGGAGGCCCCAGCUGG
Homalodisca vitripennis (glassy-winged sharpshooter) is the source of this 742-nucleotide long non-coding RNA. RefSeq lists it as uncharacterized. Lineage: Eukaryota; Metazoa; Arthropoda; Insecta; Hemiptera; Cicadellidae. The record is from RefSeq and is a predicted model, not a curated record. The transcript has 6 exons.